Molecule: long non-coding RNA, 237 nt
Filed under: Prunus persica (peach)
Lineage: Eukaryota; Viridiplantae; Streptophyta; Magnoliopsida; Rosales; Rosaceae
Description: long non-coding RNA (PPER_LNC007072)
Source: RNAcentral
GUGUAUUGUAUUAGGGUUUUUUUAAAUUACCAUUUCUGUUAAUUGUGGACAGAGACCUGCUGCUACUACAUGAUGCUGCUGCUUUUUGUGUUGCUAUGAGCUGCUGCUGUUUUUGUUUGGAAGCUUAAAUUGAGGUAUAAAUAAAAAUCACAAUUGAAGCUUAAUUUGAAAUUGAAUGCAUCUGUUUUUGUUUGGAUUUGAAAGCAUUUGUUUCUCUUUUUAUUUAUUGUUAUGUUU